AAACCGUCCAGUACCUUCCUCAUUUCUCCCACAAACGCAAAAACCCUUCUUCUUCGCUCUACUCUUUCUCUCUCUUGUUCUUCAAAGAAGGCGUAGACGCCUUCGAUUUCUUCUUCAUUUCUGCUCUUUUUCUCUCUCCUAUUCAACAUUCUUUCUUCGUUUCAGAUCUAGUCAAAUUCUUUAGCCAAAAUGAGGAUUGAAAUGCCUGCUGGGAGCUUUACUGUCUUGAGCACGGUAUUCAGGUAUCUCUCUUGUUUUUUCGAUCUUUCAUUUUUAAUAUUUCUAUAUUCCGAAAAGUUGAUGUUAUAUUGUUUUGAUUUGGUUGAAUUCGUUGAUUUUGAUAUCGCAUUUUGGUAGAACAUGUAAAUAUAUGGUAUUUGUAUGCAGAUCUGGUGUCAUAUUAUUUUUUUAAGCAUUCGCAGUUUGGUAGAACAUGUAUGCAGAUCUGGUGUCUAUGGUAUUUUGAUAUAAUGAAUGCCAGAUCUAAUGAUUUACGUUUCAGAAUGAUGUUUUUCAAAAGUUCUGAUUUGUUGUAUGUUGAAAUUUGUGUGUAGAUGUUUUCUAUAAUCUGUAUGAUCUAAUUGAAGUCCUUAAAAUUAUAGCAUUUUUAGUGAAUUUGAUGAAAUUUACAAGGAUUUUAGACUGUCUUUGUGAAAGUCUUGAUCCCCCACCCACGUUUUUGCUUAACCGUGCGAUCGAGACUUAUGGCAAAUGCCAGUGUUUGCGUGAUGCCCGUGAACUGUUCGAUGAAAUGCCUCACAGAGAUGGAGGCAGCUGGAAUGCCAUGAUCUCUGCGUAUGCGCAAGGAGGGUCGUCGAAUGAGACUUUAUCGCUCUUUUUGAAUAUGACUAGACUAUUCAAGCAGGUGUAAAGCCAUUGAAAUUUACCUUCUCAAAUGCUCUUGUUGCUUGUUCUGCUAGGCAGGCUUUAUUAGAGGGAAUUCAGAUACAUGGUGUUGUGAUUAAGUGUGGUUAUGAAGAUGACGCGAAAGAUAUGCUAUGGCAGGAAGACUUAAAGAAGCUCAAGAACUUUUUGAUAAAAUGCCUGAGCGAAGCAUCAUCUCUUGGAAUGCAAUGCUGGCAGGGUAUGUACGUUUUGGCCAAUUGGAGGAGGCCCUAAGUUUUAUUUACAUGAUGCGCCAGGUUGCUAAUGAUGCUGAUGUCGUAACUCUUAUGCUAGUCUUAAAUGUGUAUGCUUCACUCUCAGAUAUAGACUUAGGCAAAGAAGUUCAUGCUUACAUCUACCGGCAUAGUUAUGAGUCUGAUAAAUAUGGGUAGCUGGGAUGCCGUUCCAGCCUUACCCCUACUGUACCUGAAGUCUCAGAUUAUGAUUCACAACGGCCAUCAGGUAUGACCUUCCUCUCAUCAUCACAGGAAUACUAAAUUCUGUAGUAAGUCAUUUUAGUGGGACUUAUGUAAGACUAUGCAUUUUGAAUGUUUACUGUCUAUUCUUUGCUUGCGAUGAGAUAGAAGGGAGAAAUAUUAAGCUAUAUGAUGUCACUGAUGAAAUGUAAACUGUAAACACUCACUUUUAAAUUGUAAUCUGCCGCGAACUUACUACUUACUACACAUGUUUGAGGUAAUGAAAGAAAGUUUCAAGUUAGCCAUCCAAUCCACUUAGUUCUUAAGGUACCCUUUUGCUUUUGGUCCAUGGACCUCAGUCUGUGUGUUCGUGAUAAUGAUUUUGUUGCGUAUUAAGUAUGGCCGAUGACGUCUUGACAUCAAAUGAAGGUAGUGAUCUAGGAUAUAUCUCAGAACAUAUAGAAAGCUACUGAUUUUGUCAUUAUCAGGAGUUAUCACAUGAUUAGUAUGAUAUAUUAAACUUAUGACUUUUCUAGUUAUAACAUAAUCUUCUGCUUUGAGUUUUUCUCAAGUCAUAUAUCUAUAAGAUCAGCAGUUCUUCAUUUUGCAAACUUUUUCUUUAUUGGUGUAGACUUUUGGGUCUAGUUGUUCUUUUCCAUGGUUUAUUUUAGGAAUGUAAUUAGAUAUGGAAGUACCUCUGAAACAAGUAAUGCUGGGAACUAGAAUGAAAACUAUAUCAGUGGCAAAACUUAUGCAAGGGAAGGGAAUCUCGUGAAUUAUAUUUAAGCAUAUCCAACAAAAAACAAGUAAUGCUGGGAACUAGAAUGAAAAUUAUAUUUUUGCUGUUUUUCGUUUAGUAUAGAUCAUCUGGCUGAAUCUGUUGGUGUGUAUUGUUGGCUGACUGAAUCCCUUCAAUUUCUAGUGUUGAACAUUUGAGCAUGUUUUAUCAUCUAAUUAGGUAGUAUCUAUAUUUUUGUUAAUAUAUAUUUCUGUAUUUUAGCAUCUAUAUUUCUGUAUACAACAUAAUGAACUAUUUCUGUAUUUGAGCAUGUUGAAAUAGUAUGUGAGGAUAUUUAUGACUUUAGUAUAGUAAAUAGUGUACUAAUUGUGAUUUUUUUUUCUUUUGCAGGUUUGUUUGGGUUUGAUAGGAUGACUUUGGAAAGGUUGAAGAUUGAAAAUUUGUAUAUUGAAGAAGAAAUGAAUUCUUUCUAAUGUAUUAGAUAGAUUUUUUGUUAUUAUUUAUUUAAGUAAGGUUGUAAAUUAUUCACAGAUUUGAUUUAUCAUUUCUAUUUAUAUUGUAAUUACUUUUAUUACAUAUAAUAAUAAUUAUAAUUUUUCCUCUAAA
RNA transcript from Beta vulgaris subsp. vulgaris (sugar beet), 2646 nucleotides. It is a transcript of the gene named pentatricopeptide repeat-containing protein At3g26540-like, with no coding region annotated. The record is from RefSeq and is a predicted model, not a curated record. The transcript has 3 exons. NCBI's taxonomy places the organism in Eukaryota, Viridiplantae, Streptophyta, Magnoliopsida, Caryophyllales, Amaranthaceae.